GAGACUCCAACCACGUAGAACUUAGCUCCCAGCCCCAGCUUGUUGGCGAGUUCUUCAAUGUCCAUUGCCUCACUCUUCACAUUCCGUUUCGGGUUUGGAUCGCUGUCCCCAUACCCUGCUCUAUCAAAUGAUACGAAGUAGAUCCCCAGCUCACCCACCAGCUCUUGAGAUGCAGGAAGCUGGAACUCUUUGGAGCUGUCGAAGCCGUGGACAAUUAUGAUCUUGUAUUUGGCCUUGUGUUUUGGAGUCCCGGCUUCCAAAUAAGCCAGAUGCCUCCCAUCACUGAGCUGAAUCCUGGGAGAGGUAACCGGUGGGCCGCCCGGGGAGCCACACUUUUUGGGCGGCGGCGGCUGGAGGGCGUGGUAAGUCCAUCCUAACAUGAUCGUCAGGAACACUGCUACUGCUCUGCUACUCUGGUAAGUGAUUAACAGAGGUGGAGCAUAUUUUUUCAUGUUUG
This 457-nucleotide unclassified non-coding RNA is filed under the name Hevea brasiliensis (rubber tree). The record is from RNAcentral. Lineage: Eukaryota; Viridiplantae; Streptophyta; Magnoliopsida; Malpighiales; Euphorbiaceae.